AUCCCACACGUUAUUUGCACUCAAGACAUACAUGAAGACAAUGAGCGUCCAUGUACUGGAGAUGACAUCCUAAUCGAACUAUCAGUCUAGUGAAAUUUCUUGCCUGAUUUCUUGUCCUCUCACAUUUCUUUUUCUUGUCCUGGCUCUGAUUCUCAGCCUCCAGCCCUAACUCAUAGGGAUCUUGUCAGUGCAACAUCUUACGGCUCCACCAAAAUGGUUGGCUCCUGCUUGCAUUGUAAUCUCCAUCCUUCACGCAGACUUGGGCUGGCAUUUCUGGCAUUUCAAAAAGGCUCAGAAAUCUCAUGGGCAAUCAAGACUCUGCAGUUCACUUCCUACGAAUGUAUGCCAAUAACCAUCAGACACAAAUGCACAACCAUUGGCAAGAAACAGAAUUCGAAGUCUGCACGUUCUGGAGGGACACAGGCAUGCCUCCAACUAGAAACCCAACAUGAUGACACCAGUGGGAUUACCUGGGUGCCUGAAGAUAUGCACAGGUUUAAACGCUUUGCUGGACUGGGCCGGGCUACAAAUGCACAGAUGCAGCUAAGAAAGGUGAACCCUCCUGUGGAAAGCACCACCAUGGUUUGAUGCUUCAGACUCCCAGCGAUGGUCACCUACACAUCUAACACGAGUAGCCAGCCCCCAUCACAAAGUAAAUGCUGAGCUGGUACAGUAUAAAAAGCUUUUCUUCCCCUGGCAGCUGCAAAAGACAGUGGCAGAACUAGACGGCCUCUGGUAAGGCCCCUCGCAUCCACCGUCUAAAUGAAGAUGCUGAAGCUGGGACCAGACAGCACUUCCCAAAGGGCUGGACACAAACCUACCUGAGAGGCUUGGGGCGUCUGGGACUCUGUUACUUCCCAACACCCAACUGGUGAAUCACAGAAGCUCCCAGGCCACGAUAGGGCGUUUUAGCUCUCACACAUUAAGAAUGAUGAUAUGAUUGAAAAUGCAGGCAUUUUCAAGAAGAAGAGAGCAGCAAGCAAGGCGUACCUCAUAGGAGGGUGAAAAUUUGGCAAAGAGCAAAGCAUGCCCGCAACUGAGCUGAGACAUCCGGGAAAACCCUGGAAAUCUUCAAAAGGAGACUGGACAGUCACCUCGCUGGGGUCACUUGACCCCAGUUGCCUUUUCCUGCCUAGUGCAGGGGGGCUGGACCCGAUGAUCUGCAAGUUCCCGUCCAGCCCCUAACAUCUAUGAAUCUAUGAAAUCUUACUUCCUGAGUCAUUUUUCCACCAGCAAAGCCAAAAAAAAAGCAGCAGCUCAUUGGAAAUGCUUCUCUCAAGAUAGUCCACAAAUGAGGAUUCAGUGGCACAGUUCUUCUGAUCCAAAAAAUGUUUGCAAAGACUGAAAUUAGGCAUGCAAAGGUGACUGGUCAAAGCAUGUUCUACAUGUCAUGUGUGUAUGCAAAGUGGAAGAUUGCAGUAAUGAAUAGCUCAGGGUAAUUCCCCGUGUACACGCUCUCAUCCCAAGAUAGAUGGACACUGAACUGUGGUAUCUUGGCCCUCAAAAAGUUGAUGCAUGAUAAAAAGCCCCAUGGUCUCUCUGAACCUCUAUGCUCAGGGUUGUUCUGGGCUAAUCUUGAUCUUGCUCAUGGUAGUAUCAGUCUGGAGGAACGCCACUGAUCCUAGGUGAGAUACGUCCAUGUAGAAAUGGUGUGAGCUCCCAGCCGGCAUCAGCGUUUGCUAAUCCUGGGUGUUUACUUUGCAAGACAUCCUGGGGUGUGUUUGCUGAUAUGAUAUCAGAGUUAGCAGACAUAAAACUGAAGAGGUGCUAAAUAGAAACAGUGAUGCAUGCUGUGGGCAUGUUAUGGAGGAGAAAAAAUGAGCCAGUUUUAACUGCGGAGCUGCUUGUGAUUAGCACAAGGUGAAUGCAACAUCCCUGAGGCACUAUUGGGCUUCUUUCAUGGCAAUACAGCCUAGCACCGGGGCCUAUUCGACAUGUUUAUACUGGGCACAUCCUCCAAAACCACGGGGUGGGAGCAAAUCUGAGCACUUAUGCUACCUGCUACCUUAUCUGUCCUUAUGAAGCAGCUCUUCCAAAGGGAGGUGGGACUGGCCCCGCUCAUGCAUUCGCAAUAAUUCCUAUUCUUCUAAAACCUUUCUCCGUGGGUGUUUAAACUGUGUACGUGCCUGGGAGUGAACCUAAGCGGUCGGCUUUACAGUAUUUCCCUCUGUAUUUUUAUGCUUUGCAGAUCAAUUUCAUGAACUCUGCUAGGUAGGACGGCUGCCACCAGCUGGAAGAGUGUAGUAAAUUAAUUAUAGAUGUAUGUUAAAUUACUUUCAUUACCACCCUCAGCCCUGGGAUGGGAUCAUGUGAGCAGGAUGACUGAUGAAACAGCACUUCUGUAUAUCCCUGUGGUGAUGGAUAUUUUUGCUCAACUGGUAGCAUUGUUUCUGGAUACAGGGAAGCCAGGAUCGUGUGCUUCAGAAAAUUGAGGUCUCAAGUAAACUCCAAGCGUUGCUGGCAGGUUUAUGGCUCAAAUAUACCAGCUAUUGGGAGGGCGGUAGGGGUGGAGACUCUUCCUUCUCCCUGUACUUUGACAUAGGCACACAUCUGAAAGCAGAUACCUCCAUCUGCCUCAUGUCAGGCCCCUGGCAGACACGGGAGCUAUCUAUGCUUCACCCGUCCCCGGGUAUUUCCUAGCAGCCAGCUUAGGUGGUUCCCUGUUUGGGGGGCAGGAGUUUGUGGGUCCUAUUCUCUUGGGCCUUAUAAAGAUUGCCUGUGUGCCUAACAGGGCUGUGAUUUCACUAGGCCAUAGGGUGCCCAAGUGAGUUGAGCCAACUCCUCCUUUGUGCACGUAGCCCCAUGUCCUUCCAGUUAUGCAUGAGGAUACCAGGCUUCCUUGGCAUUUGCAAAAGGAGUAACAUAUUUAGACACAAUUGAAGGAAAGCAGGUGGCUAACAGACUGGCUAUUAAUUCUGUAGAUAUAGCUGUUGAAGGCAGCCAGGAUACAAAUCCAUGUGCAUAUUUUUUCUUGCCUAUUUUCACCUCCUAAUAACCUUGGCAUAGGGCAUUUCUGGGGAUUAAUGGUCUUCUGCUGAACUUCAGUCUAUCAACUUUCUGCAGGGCCUCAUUAAUCCCUGGGAAAUUGCCUGUUCCACGAUUGCUACUGCUAAAAAAAAAUGCAUUCGGAGAAUGAAACAGUGCUGCUAGUGCUUCAUCAUGCACCAGCCCUAACUGCUAACUCUGGGUGCACAUCACAGUACCUGUUACUUAUGUGGCUGGUACGCUACAGUUGUAGUUGUUGUUGCAUAUAAUUAUCAGCAGCCCUAUAACCGGAAGCUGCACUUCAUGCCCGUAUUACUGAGCGUGGUCCUUCAAGUCUCAUCCCAUAGCAGCUUUCGACAUGGAUCUCACCUCUAAAUGCUUGUUACAGUGAGUGAAUUGGUUCAAUAAUGUUUCCAGAAUCAUAAAUCUAGUGGACAUUGUGAUCGGUGGCAGGAGCAUGGGUGAGGGUUGUCUCAGUCGCCCUCCAGGUGCUUUGCCCAUCCACGCUGCUACGGCCCUACUUCCACGGCUGCCAGCCCUCACCAGAUGCCCCAUGCGUCUGGAGUAGUUGCAGCAGCACAGGGCAUAUAGCAGAGACAGGGCAUACCUGGGGCACAUGGUGGGGGCUGGAGCUGCUGCCUCAUGCCCUGGGUCAGAGCUGGAGCUGCCACCACUGCAGCUCCCUUAUGUCCCAGCUGGAUCCACCCCAUAAGGAGCCCCACAGCUCAGAUUCAACCCAUGGCACAAGGUGAGUUUGACACCUCCCACCCCCCGGGUUAGAUGCAGGUUGACUCCAAGUAGCUGAAGUGCUGUUUGAUCUUCAUUUAACAGCCCCUUGGGCUACUGAGAUGAAGGCACACCAGUUUCUAUAGCCAACCUCAAAGGAGCAAUGUGACCAGCAUGUUACUGGUUGCCUUUGACUCCUGAGACUGAAUGGCUUCAUAGUCAUUUAUAGCUAGGCUGAAGAGGCAGCCUUCAGCAUGACUUAAAACUCAUGCCUCCGGAGCUGUAGAUACCAGGCCCACCCUGUCAGCAUACUCCAGAAGCUGUAGGAUCUGCUUCUGAAUAGGAUUAGGGUAAUAAUCUAUUUUGCCAGGUUUAGAGCAUGUGUAAUUGUAAUUUUAUUGUAAUACUGGUAACAAGCAAGAGUGAAGAGUUUCAGGAGAAUCGAGCAAAGAGGUAGGUCUAAUAAUGCUCAGCACGUGUUUGGCUAGAACAGUGUUCCUCAACCAGGGUGCCUGGCGUGCAAAGCAAUCUUUUUAAGGGUGUCACAGGGUGGCAUGCAAUAUUAACACUGUCAGAUGUGCAACCACCUGCGCAUGAUUCACAAGAUAAACCCAGAGAUUUCAAAUAGGAAUCCACACUGUCACAAACUUUCUGCCCUGCUGUGGUCUCUCUCAGUUCUGUGCAACAGAAGAUUUGCUCUAUUAUGCCUCCAUAGUCAAAAAAUGAGGCACAGCUAAGAGCUGGCAUUUUGCAAGUCUAACAAAGUUGAGAGACCCUGGGCUAGGGGCUGGUAACUCCAGGAGAGAUGGUUUAUAGCCAGAAAUGGAACUACUUGGAAUUAGAAGCUACUUUUGCAAAUGUGGGCCUUGUUGAAUGAAAGAGUAUCCAACCUUUGGAAACUCAGCCUCCUCCAAGGAGCUUAGGUGAGCACUUGCACCCUCCAGGUGAGCAGCAUUAUAACUAGCUAGCUCUGAGACGAAGCUCCAGUUUGAAUAUAGUAAAAUGGAUGAUAUGUUUGUGCUGCAUUCAGGAGAAGCCCCAGAAAGCUUUAUCCCACUCCCAACACAAUGGGGAGGUUUUGCGGCUGGUCUUAAUCUAUCAGCACAAGUCAUUAGGAGAAAAUGUAUCUUCUUUAUUAGCUUCUUGGAUGAGAUGCAAGGACUCAUUUGUCUUAACCAUAUCAACGUGCUAACGCUAUUGUCAGGUAGAAUAAUGACAGACAUUAUAGAGAACACAACCUGUCAGGAAGGAAUAUAUUUGCUCAUAAGUCAUUCUGCAUAAAUAUACACACCCUUACUUUUACCAGGCAGACUUUUGGGAAUAAUGGUAGGAGAGCUACACAAACUCAGUCAGAGGAAGGAAGAAAAAUGUGCUCCUGUGGUCCAUAUAUCAUCCCUCAGAAGUGAGGCCUCUAUCCAUGUUAAGAAAAAAACAAAAACCAAAACAACCUUUAACUAAUGAGCUGGGAACAAAUCCUAUUUUGGGAGAGGAAAGCAGGGGAACAAACCACAGACAUGGGUGGGCAUGUUAUCCAGCCUCUACUGCCCCAUGGUUAUAAGCAAUAUUCCUACAUGCUCCCUACUUUCCUCUAAGAUCACACAGUAAGUAUGAGGCACAUGGUCUCCAGAGUCCUUGGUGAGCACCAUAACCCUCAACCUGUCUCUGAGAACUAGGGGGGCCUGUACACACCACAGGUUUUAAACCUUAUUAAAUUUAAAUAGGUUUAUAAAAUUUAAACUUGUUUAUUUUGGAACGUCGCAUUUGUGUUUACAUGCACUAGGUUCUCAAACAAAUUCAGCUGAGCCCCUGGCCUGCACCAGAGGAGAGCGGGAUGGUCCAGUGAUGCCCCCUGGCCCCUCACCCACCCCAUGCCCGUGCCCUGCCACGCAACUGUGGAAGCAAGGAGACGACAAACCACACAAGAAAAAUAAAUAAAUAAACUAUGUCCGAGGAGUGUUAGUUUGAAUUGCUUUCAUUUUUUAAUUGCUUCUGCUUUUUUAAAGGGGUGAACUACAAAAAAGUCGCAGCGCCAUCUGGUGGACAAAGAGGAUCGUUCCACAUCUUUUAGUGCCUUUGCGUUUGCACGCAACGAAUCCAUGGAUGCGACACUUCAAUUCCGGGUGAGCCAUACUAAACUAUGUCCCAGGAGUUUUAGUUUAAAAGUCUUUCUUGUGUGUUAAAGCGUCUGGAAAUCCUGCUCAUGCAAACAGACAUGCAGUUGCAGCGCAUGAAAGGGCAAAAAUCGUGGUGUGUACAUGAGCCCAAUGGGUUUCCCAGAGACAGAUGAUGUCUGAGAGAGCUCUGCCAGCUUGUGAGUGCAGGUAGCUCACAUUGCACUGUGGUGGGGUUUGAUAAGUUGACAACAUGGUGCAGUAGGUGCUAUUGCCCUGGCUGUUUUCAGUGUUGCUGUUUGUGAGGUUAUGGUUGUUGAACAGUUGGUCCCACUUCUUCUUCUUCUUUGCUUUGGUUGUUGUAAUAGUUGAUUCCAUUUCUUCUUCUUCCUGUGCUGGACAGCUCUCAUCAGGUGCUUUUGCUGGCUGCUGCAUUAAGUAUGUCUCUGAGUUCAUUUCUUUCAGUUUAGUGGAGCCUGACAGUCUUUCUUGUUUCAACUGAUCCCUUUUGGAGAAAAGUCAGUGGAGGGGACUUCAUGUCUUCCUGCAUAGUUGUGUAGUGUACUUAAGAGUUGUGUGGAUUAGCCAGAGGGCUGCAGAUAGUAAAGCCCCUGGAGAUGAUUUUGGAAUCAUUUGUUUAUACUAUUCUUUCAUCGGAUACAAAUGAAAAUUAAAUAAUACCCAUUAUAAACACAAAGGCAGGUAGAUAAGCAGCAAUAUAUGGCAAACAUAGACUUUGUUCCUGAGAGCUACUGACAUCGUGGAAGGGUACGUUGACAUUUAGGAAUACUCUGCCUUUAAGCAUUCACACUGGUUUUUGAUGAGGUCAUGUCUGUCUGCUCAUCUAAUAUAACCGAUGUUACUCUCACUGCUGACUGGCAUGAAAGUCAUAUUUGAAAGUAAUACCUUAGCAUAAUCUUUAAUAAACCUUCAUUGUCCACCAGGCGCUUUCUGAAUGCAGCCGAAUAAAUGUGGUGUCAAUUGCCAUGGAAGAUGCCUUGCUCAGUGAUCUCUGUUGUUACAUAAAAUGAUUGCAUAUUUCCAAGGCACACGUGAUAAGGGUAUGAAAGUACAGAGCGAAACUUGGCCUGCGCCUCUUUGACACAGUGACCAUUUUCUUCCACUUAGCUGCGUUUCAGGAGCAAUUUGCUCUGGGCAUUGUGGACCAUUCUGGCUGAGAAUCACACUUUGCCUGUAUGGAGAGGAGAGCAAGUGCAUUUCUUUGUGCACGUAUUGCCAAAAUGACUCCUCCUCCCUUUUGCUCCCAAGUUCAUCUGAAACACAUCUGCAGGAAUACACAGCUCUUUGUCAGCACUCGGCCUGCCUCAUUAGGAGAGGAAAAACCACAGCCUCCUGUGCUUUCUCAACAAGAAAGGCUUGUGUAAACAUUUUGUUCCUAGUGCUCCGUUGUCAUCCUCUUGGCUAGUAUUUUAUCCCAGAUACAUCUCCCUAGCAAUGGAAAACACACAACCCCUAAAAAGUGAAACCCUUAUACGUGUUGUAUGCUUAGCCCUGCAUCUCUGGCAACUCACGUGAGCAAAAGCUGGAGGCUGGAUCCUAUCUGAGUAGAUUUUGAGAAGCAGGACUGAUUGGCAUGGAAAACAAUGCAAAUUAAGCUUUCUUAUGCUAUUUUGCACAUCCAGUUAUAUAUGCUUCCACAGGCCGAAGCGCUACUGUGGAAGUGAAGCAAUUCUGUGUACUUCAUACAUCAAGGAAGAAAAGGAGCACAGAAGGUAGAGAUUGGUUUGAAGUUCCCAACUUUUACAUUCUUCUACUUGAUAAGCAGAAGAUAAGCAACUUUUGGCCUCCAGACUAGGGGUUCAAAUACCUGAGACCGUGGUUCUAUUACAUUCGUUUUAGCAGGUCAAAUAGGGAGACAAACUUUAGUGCACCGGGAACAGGAAAUGUAUCUGGGGGAGUGCAUCUAAAUCUCAGAGAAUCAACUGAUUUAAAUUUACAACAAUUUGGACCUAUGGUAAUAACCAGCAGCACUGUCAGGGGCUAAUGCUGCCUCUUACCUGUGCUAACUUCAUACUUGUUAACAGGUCUGACUGCUGUUGCACAGCCUCACACCUAGAUGGCAGGACAGCCUCUAAGGACUUAUUUGCAUUCAGUAAGGCUAAGGACAGAAAUGACACACAAACUGGUGCAAGCGAUCCGAAACCAGUCCAGAUCUCUAACAAAACAGAAAUUCGGUGCAUCUAAACCGCUUUCAAAAUGGCUGAAAUCCAUUUAAGAUAAACCUGGAUGGAUGUAGUAUCAGACUUAACCUGAACCUGGAGGAGAACUGCGACAGAAGUUCAAUAAACCAAUUUAACCUAAAUCAGUGAAGUCGCGGCCCCACAGCAUCCCAGGAUGCUUUGCACCUCUCCUGAAAACCCCUCACCUCCAUACGGUGGGCAGGCUAGCCUGGGCUCAAGCUGUCUGCUGCAGCCCCCACCCGGCGUCUGGCCUGGGCCACUGCAGGCACGUGGCUGCAUUUCUGGGAUUAAAAGUGAAUGUCUGUUCACUUGCUUAUCGGUUCAAUCCAAGCAGUUUAGAUUAACCUGCAAAGACUGGAUUGAUUUAGCCUCAGGCUUUAUGACUGUCUCUACUUAGUCUUACUGGCUGUCGCGGAGCAGGAGACACACACUGCCUCUACCUUGUAUAACGUAUACCAGUAUAAUUUUACUCUUCCUUUCCUCCCACCCAGGAUAACUACACCAGGUUCUGGAAAAUUGCACAAGGACAGGACUGUAAUUUCGCUCCCGAUUUGCACAGAUAUAAACAGGUGUGUCCAGGCAUUAAAACUGAACAACCGCAUUCUUUAUGUGGGAUUUUUCUAAGAAACAACGAUUGCUCAGGCGAGACCUGAAAUGGGUGGGCAUUGCUUGAUGCACGGCUGCUGUGAUACGCACCCUCGCACAUUUUGUGAGGCAGUUUUGAGGGAACAGAGUAGUCGCAUUCAGGCCUGGUGCAAAUGUACAGGGGUGCUUGUCACUUCGUCCUGUCAAACAGCAUCUGUUUCUCAAAAGCUAACCAGAGCGGCAUGGUCAUAGGAAAGUAGGACUGGAAGGAACCCUACAAGGUCAUCUAGUCCAGCCACCAGCUCAGGGCAGGAUCGUCCCCGACUAAAACAUCCCAGUCAAGUGUCUAUCUAAUCUGCUCUCAAAAACUGCCAAGGAUGGAGAGUCCACAGUUUCUCUAGGCAGCUUAUUCCAGUGCUUGACCACCCUCUUAUUUAGGUAGUUCCUCUUAAUCUCCAAUUUAUCCUUCCAAUCUCCAUCUGCUGAAGUUUGAGGCCACUACUCCUAGUCCUGUCCCCUCCCCCCGUGCCCCCAUUCACAGAGAAAAGCCCACUUCCAUUCUUUGUAAUCACCCUUCAGGUAUUUGAAGGCUGUUACCAAAUCUCCCCUCGGUCUUUCCUUCUUCAUACUAAACAACACUAGUUCUUUCAGCCUUUCUCCAAGAUAUCUUUAUUUCCCUGCCCAGGCGAUUCCAGUCACUUCAGGUUGCAUUGCUUUGCAAAUGGAAACAAAGGCCCGCCGCAAUAGCAAAGGAGCAGAAGGACUAUUUCACAGCCCUUCUCUGGUAGCUGUUUUUUUCCUCAGUCUGUUGUUCAGCCAACAAGUCCCUUGAAGCAAAAAUCCAGGAGAAAGAACAAAGCAAGAGCCACAAAACAGAUUAAGGCUUCUUUUAAAGCUCCAAGCAAUCCCUGAGUGCAGGAGCCAAGCACAAUUCCUUAAGAUCCAAGCUAGUUUAAUGUGAAAUAGCUGUCUAGCAACUGAACUCAACUGAAAUGCAUUGAAAAAAAAAACCUGUCUCUGUAUAUUUAAAACGAAAACCCUGCCCCUGCUGAAUGAGUAUGUUGACCAAUAUUCCUUCCACCUGACUUGUCAGAAAGGUACUUUGAAGCGAGUGCAGCUGUAACUAGAACGUGUCCAAUUUACCAUGCAGAUCACCAGAUGAGAUAUGCAAUUAGGGUGCCUUCCUUCUCUAUAGUUGGUGCUGAAGGAUGCAUCUCAUUGCAUCGUUCACACUUCUGAGCUGAACAGGAGUUUAGGAACACGUCCUGGAUAUAUUUGCUGGUCUUUGGAAACAUGUUUAUGGACUGGGGUAUUGAACAUUUUGGACCCCCUUCAGCAAAGCACUUAAACAUGCCUAGACAUUGGUCAGGUUAAUCACGUGCUUAAGAGCUUUGCUGGACUGAAGCCAGGUGCUCUGUACUGUACUUGGGAGUCAAGCCUUACAAAGAGGGCCAAAACUCAUCAAAAACCAUGUCAAUGCCUCCAUUAAAAUCGCUCCUAUGAAAGAAGCCAUGCAAGUGUGGAAUAAGGAGCUUCUUAAAUAGUAAAGAAAGAACCUAGUUUGCAAGAAAAUGGGAAAGUGGUGGUUUAACCUUUGGGGAUUUAAAAAGUGACAAGAAGCUGUGUGUUAAAUAUGGCAAUAGCCUGUUCUGCAACCAGCAAUGCACUAAUUAUUAUUUUAUUUGUUCGUCCCAUAUAUUGUUGCUUUUCUGUUUUUGCAUUGGAAAUGCUACUGUAUGUGGUUGGUCGGGUCAUAUAUAGUAUUAUAAAGUGUUUAUGCUAUCCUACGUUUAUUUAAGCAUGUUCUGGAUUCCCCCUAAAUUGGAGACCUUACCUCAGCUGGUGUAAAUCAGCAUUUAGGACAAGUGAUUUCCAUGCCGUAUUAUGCCAGCUUCUAGAGUUAAUUAACUGAUAGGGUUAGGUGGGAACCUGCAAUAUAAGAGAUGGGUUAGGCAAGGACUGUCCUGCCCUGGGGUGAGGGGUGAACUAGCUGACUUUCUGUGGUCCCCUUACAGGUGUAUGAGCAAUAUAUUUGUACUCAAACUCUUUCUUAUGCUUUUAUUACUACGUCUAUGACCCAGAUGUCCUGGUUUUCCAUAUUGAAAUCCAGUUCUUCUUUGGUCUGGGCCUCAGCAAUGCCUUGUGGCAAGAAGUUUCUCAUGGUGAGUGUGCCGUGGAAAGG
Long non-coding RNA from Alligator sinensis (Chinese alligator), 10790 nucleotides. RefSeq lists it as uncharacterized. The transcript has 5 exons. The record is from RefSeq and is a predicted model, not a curated record. Lineage: Eukaryota; Metazoa; Chordata; Crocodylia; Alligatoridae.